GACGAACGCUGGCGGCGUGCCUAAUACAUGCAAGUAGAACGCUGAAGAGAGGAGCUUGCUCUUCUUGGAUGAGUUGCGAACGGGUGAGUAACGCGUAGGUAACCUGCCUUGUAGCGGGGGAUAACUAUUGGAAACGAUAGCUAAUACCGCAUAACAAUGGAUGACCCAUGUCAUUUAUUUGAAAGGGGCAAAUGCUCCACUACAAGAUGGACCUGCGUUGUAUUAGCUAGUAGGUGAGGUAACGGCUCACCUAGGCGACGAUACAUAGCCGACCUGAGAGGGUGAUCGGCCACACUGGGACUGAGACACGGCCCAGACUCCUACGGGAGGCAGCAGUAGGGAAUCUUCGGCAAUGGGGGCAACCCUGACCGAGCAACGCCGCGUGAGUGAAGAAGGUUUUCGGAUCGUAAAGCUCUGUUGUAAGUCAAGAACGAGUGCGAGAGUGGAAAGUUCACACUGUGACGGUAGCUUACCAGAAAGGGACGGCUAACUACGUG
RNAcentral lists this ribosomal RNA (497 nucleotides) under uncultured bacterium. RNAcentral's name for it is "partial 16S ribosomal RNA". It matches the Rfam family "Bacterial small subunit ribosomal RNA", at positions 28 to 507 of the family's 1533-position model. The record is from RNAcentral.